GGCGCUAUAGCCAAGUGGUUACGGCGACAGAUUCGAAUAAAUUUCGUCUACGUCUAUAAUCUGUUCCUCUUUGAGGGCGCAGGUUCAAAUCCUGCUGGCGUCG
Molecule: non-coding RNA, 103 nt
Organism: Marasmius sp. AFHP31
Lineage: Eukaryota; Fungi; Basidiomycota; Agaricomycetes; Agaricales; Marasmiaceae
Source: the annotation of a GenBank genome assembly